CGGAUGGCCAUGCGGCGCAUUAGCUAGUCGGCGGGGUAACGGCCCACCGAGGCGACGAUGCGUAGGGGUUCUGAGAGGAAGGUCCCCCACACUGGUACUGAGACACGGACCAGACUCCUACGGGAGGCAGCAGUGAGGAAUAUUGGUCAAUGGGCGAGAGCCUGAACCAGCCAAGUCGCGUGAAGGAUGACGGCCCUACGGGUUGUAAACUUCUUUUGUCAGGGAGCAAUUGAGUCCACGUGUGGGCUUAGCGAGAGUACCUGAAGAAAAAGCAUCGGCUAACUCCGUGCCAGCAGCCGCGGUAAUACGGAGGAUGCGAGCGUUAUCCGGAUUUAUUGGGUUUAAAGGGUGCGUAGGCGGAAUAUCAAGUCAGCGGUAAAAAUUCGGGGCUCAACCCCGUCGUGCCGUUGAAACUGAUGUUCUUGAGUGGGCGAGAAGUAUGCGGAAUGCGUGGUGUAGCGGUGAAAUGCAUAGAUAUCACGCAGAACUCCGAUUGCGAAGGCAGCAUACCGGCGCCCAACUGACGCUGAAGCACGAAAGCGUGGGUAUCGAACAGGAUUAGAUACCCUGGUAGUCCACGCAGUAAACGAUGAAUGCUAAUUGUCCGGAGGGAUUGACCUCUGGGUGAUACAGCGAAAGCGUUAAGCAUUCCACCUGGGGAGU
This 663-nucleotide ribosomal RNA is filed under the name uncultured bacterium. Its description in RNAcentral is "bacterial SSU rRNA". It matches the Rfam family "Bacterial small subunit ribosomal RNA", at positions 222 to 881 of the family's 1533-position model. The record is from RNAcentral.